UGGGGAAUUUUGGACAAUGGGCGCAAGCCUGAUCCAGCCAUGCCGCGUGCGGGAAGAAGGCCUUCGGGUUGUAAACCGCUUUUGUCAGGGAAGAAAUCUUCUGAGUUAAUACCUCGGGAGGAUGACGGUACCUGAAGAAUAAGCACCGGCUAACUACGUGCCAGCAGCCGCGGUAAUACGUAGGGUGCAAGCGUUAAUCGGAAUUACUGGGCGUAAAGCGUGCGCAGGCGGUUUUUGUAAGACAGAGGUGAAAUCCCCGGGCUCAACCUGGGAACUGCCUUUGUGACUGCAAGGCUUGAGUGCGGCAGAGGGGGGAUGGAAUUCCGCGUGUAGCAGUGAAAUGCGUAGAUAUGCGGAGGAACACCGAUGGCG
RNAcentral lists this ribosomal RNA (372 nucleotides) under uncultured bacterium. RNAcentral describes it as "partial 16S ribosomal RNA". It matches the Rfam family "Bacterial small subunit ribosomal RNA", at positions 355 to 717 of the family's 1533-position model. The record is from RNAcentral.